This 253-nucleotide ribosomal RNA is filed under the name uncultured bacterium. Its description in RNAcentral is "partial 16S ribosomal RNA". It matches the Rfam family "Bacterial small subunit ribosomal RNA", at positions 524 to 776 of the family's 1533-position model. The record is from RNAcentral.
GACAGAGGAUGCAAGCGUUGUUCGGAAUUACUGGGCGUAAAGCGUGCGUAGGCGGUAUUGAGAGUUACGGGUGAAAUCCCCAGGCUUAACCUGGGAGCUGCCUGUAAGACCUCAGUACUAGAGUGUGAGAGGGGAUAGUGGAAUGCCAAGUGUAGCGGUGAAAUGCGUAGAGAUUUGGCGGAACACCGGUGGCGAAGGCGGCUAUCUGGCUCACAACUGACGCUCAGGCACGAAAGCGUGGGUAGCAAACAGG